This 440-nucleotide ribosomal RNA is filed under the name uncultured bacterium. RNAcentral describes it as "bacterial SSU rRNA". It matches the Rfam family "Bacterial small subunit ribosomal RNA", at positions 338 to 775 of the family's 1533-position model. The record is from RNAcentral.
CCUACGGGAGGCAGCAGUGAGGAAUAUUGGACAAUGGGCGAGAGCCUGAUCCAGCCAUGCCGCGUGCAGGAAGACUGCCCUAUGGGUUGUAAACUGCUUUUGUACGGGAAGAAACCCUGCCACGUGUGGCGGGCUGACGGUACCGUAAGAAUAAGGAUCGGCUAACUCCGUGCCAGCAGCCGCGGUAAUACGGAGGAUCCAAGCGUUAUCCGGAAUCAUUGGGUUUAAAGGGUCCGUAGGUGGACGAUUAAGUCAGGGGUGAAAGUCUGCGGCUCAACCGUAGAAUUGCCUUUGAUACUGGUCGUCUUGAAUCAUUGUGAAGUGGUUAGAAUAUGUAGUGUAGCGGUGAAAUGCAUAGAUAUUACAUAGAAUACCGAUUGCGAAGGCAGAUCACUAACAAUGUAUUGACACUGAUGGACGAAAGCGUGGGGAGCGAACAG